AAAACACUUUUUUUACCAUCCUGAUUAUAAAUCUUUACGGACGUCAGCAAAUAAUCUCUCACUGGAAUAUAUAAAUACUGUUCAAAAAUCACCAGAAAAAAAUAUUUGUCACUCAUUUCUAUUUCUGAAGCAAAAAUGAAGUUCUUCUACGCUUUGCUCAUGCUGUGGGCCAUAGUAGCCUGCGCUUUAUUCCAAAGUGCAAGCGCUCAAUGCCCAGAUACAGAUAACUGUAAUCUAGAUAUAUGCAAGAUAGUAACGAAUUCGGAUAAUGGAUGCCAAGUGUGUGAAUGCACUCAAAACGGACAGCCUGCCUAAUAUCUAUAACUGCCAAAUAUCAAGACAGACCUGCCUCGUCAGCUAUAUGAGAGUUUUAUUGAAAUUCAACAACAAAAUCACAGAUGUUAUAAAUUUAAUUAAAUAAUAAACUUAAAAUCAAAGAUUGUGAGCUAUUUUAUCUUCAUUUGUACUUCCUUAAUAAAAUUUCUUUCCACUUUUC
Argiope bruennichi is the source of this 496-nucleotide long non-coding RNA. RefSeq lists it as uncharacterized. Lineage: Eukaryota; Metazoa; Arthropoda; Arachnida; Araneae; Araneidae. The transcript has 3 exons. The record is from RefSeq and is a predicted model, not a curated record.